UUGGUUUGACACCACAGCUUAGAGGCUUAGUACGCUUCAUAUGUUUAGCAACCCCUCUUUAUUUUACAUAUUUCUUGUUAUUGUUAAUCAUUCUUCCUUUUCAAUAUGAACAAGUACUAGUAGAUUUUUACUAGUCUGUCUAGUAGAUUUUCUUUCUAAUGCCAUAUGUACGUGUGUGUUCUUUUCUUGUUUCUCAUUUGAAUUCGUAAAAAGGUGUUGUAUGAUUGUUAUAGACUAACCCUUGUUUUUGUCUUUCAAGAUUUGUUUAAAGAUUCAUCUCAAAUCUACUAGUACUUCUUCAUAUUGAAAAGGAAGAACGAUUAAGAACAAGAAGAAAUAUGUAAAAUAUAGACGGGUUGCUAAACAUAUGAAGCGUACUAAGCCUCUAAGCUGUUGUGUCAAACCAACAGUACUAAAUCGACAAAUUAAGAACUAAAACAACAACAAGAAGUAUGUAAAACACAGACGGCUGCUAAACAUAUGUCACCACUAGUGGAAACAAUGUAACUAAACAUAUUAAGUGUCACCACUAGAGGAAAAAGGGGGGAGUUCCUCUCAGACGGGCGGUUGGGGGGCGCACUUGUUUCUUCGGUAUGAUAUGACGGGCGGCUGGGGCAAGAGUUUCUCCCAAGAGUCCAAGAANNN
This 645-nucleotide long non-coding RNA is filed under the name Nicotiana tabacum (common tobacco). RNAcentral describes it as "long non-coding RNA (NTAB_LNC007449)". The record is from RNAcentral. Lineage: Eukaryota; Viridiplantae; Streptophyta; Magnoliopsida; Solanales; Solanaceae.